CUGGCAGAGGUGGUUGGGGCUAUGUGCCUGGAGUGAAGAUUCUGCCCAUUGGUCAAGAGACCUCCCUCUCAGAUGCUGGCUCUGCCCCUGCCUUUGGGGGUCGACCCUUGUACUCGCAGGACCUUAGGUGACUCUGACUUUGUCAAAGGAAAAAUUUCUGCAUGUGCACACACAGAUCUUGGAAGUUUAUUCAUCUCAGCAGAGGCAGACAGGAGCAUCAACAGCCUUGGGGACAGCAGCAGUGGUGGCAGGGCAAAAUAAAACUUAUAUGAAACUGCAAUCACUAAUGUGUGAAAAUGGAAGAUUCAGGAAGUGUUUCAUAUCUGAAAUAUGAACCCAACGUGGAAUCAACAUGCAUCCAAACAGGACUAAAUGUGCAAACCCAAGGCAAGAUUAAAACUAUAAAUAUUUAGCAAUUUGGCAAAUUGGUCAUUUUGGAGACUAGCUUUUAGCAAAUUCAUCAUAUGUUUAAUUGAUUUCCAGUAAAUUGGCUGCUUCCAUCAAGGUUGCCUUGGGUGACUAUGUCCAAGCAACCAAAUUGCUCUCUUUAAAUGCAAAAAUCAGUAAAGAUUCAUCUCUCUAAAGUAAGUUUGAAAUUCUUGCAAUAUUCAGAUUGACUUGGCAACUAUCUGAUGGGUUACCUCUUUGUGUCGCCCUGACAUCCUUAAUGUAGACACAUAUGCAUACUAGAAUGUUGAUUCAUUAAUCCACAGAGAAAACUGUAACUACUAAGAAGACUAGAUAUUCAUGCUUGAGAAUGAGUGAUUCUGUUUUUGAUGGCAAACCUCUGACAUACAAUACAUGGUGGCCUAUUCCUACAACAUUCAGAAUAAAGAAUAAGGGAGCUGGGUGCAUUGGUGUGCGCCUGUAAUCCCAGCUACUUGGGAGGUUGAGAUGGGCACAUUGCUUGCUCCCAGGAGUUUGAGUCCAGCCUGGG
This 937-nucleotide non-coding RNA is filed under the name Pan troglodytes (chimpanzee). The record is from RNAcentral. Lineage: Eukaryota; Metazoa; Chordata; Mammalia; Primates; Hominidae.